This 64-nucleotide transfer RNA is filed under the name Cavia porcellus (domestic guinea pig). It matches the Rfam family "tRNA", at positions 1 to 62 of the family's 71-position model. From Rfam's summary of the family: Transfer RNA (tRNA) molecules are approximately 80 nucleotides in length. Their secondary structure includes four short double-helical elements and three loops (D, anti-codon, and T loops). Lineage: Eukaryota; Metazoa; Chordata; Mammalia; Rodentia; Caviidae. The record is from Rfam by way of RNAcentral.
GGGGAUUUAGCUCAGUGGCGUAAGCACCUGCCUUGAAAGCAGGCGGUCGUGAGUUCGAUCCCUG